UUAAAUUUUCUCUCUCUCUCUCUCUCUGUCUUUUAUUAUUUCUUCCUUUUUGUUUAUAUUACUUUUAUGAAAGAGAGAGAGAGAGAGAGAGAGAGAAAAGUAA
Non-coding RNA from Brugia malayi, 103 nucleotides. NCBI's taxonomy places the organism in Eukaryota, Metazoa, Nematoda, Chromadorea, Rhabditida, Onchocercidae. The record is from RefSeq and is a predicted model, not a curated record.